CUUAUUUGCAUUGGAAGCAAUUCCCAAAUCAACACUCAAAAAUUAAAGCCCUCACCGGCCACAACCUCCAGCCCCUCUCUUCUCUGUUCACUAACAGCGUCUCAGCGACAGUGGCGCAGUGCGAACGGAGCAGCAAGACUCUCGUCCGACGUUUCUCAGUCUCUCAGCGGGAAGACUGAUUCCUUGCAAUUUUCUUAAUCAGUUUGAAGUUUUGAUUCUCCUGUUGGAACUGAAGUGAAGUUUUAUGACCCACGGAAGGGUUUGUGGAAGAAGAUCAAUUUUUCUUUUCAAUGGAUCCCAAAUAUGCAGGAGAAACUUUGAAGCAUCUAGAGAAAGAAAGUGAACUACUCUUGAAUGCCCAUAAAGCAAUGUCAGAUGAAUUGCACAGGCUUCAGGUUGAGGAAGAAAUGAUGAUGCGCAAGUUACAUGAACUUAUUUCAGCUCACAAUCUAAGUAAAAAGAAAGGCUUAAAUGAUAAUGCUGAGAAAAGGCAGAAUGACCAGGAAGGAGCACCGGUCGACAUGACUAAUGGUGCUGAUGAAAGGCAGAAUGACCUGGAAGGAGCUGCCAUUGACAUGACUAAAGGAUGAAAUUUGAACUGUUAAGCUGAAGGAUUUUCAGACGUCAAACCUCCGACCCUCCAAAAAAAUAAGGUCAAAUGGGCACAUAGAAGAACAAACAAGAUAAUGUACUUCCACAAAUAAUGUUGGUGAAGUAUUGAUAUAUUACCUCUGUUUCAAGGAGGUAAAGAAUGGAGGUUGUUGUUUAUAUAUUAAAAACAUUAACAUAAUUAAAUAUUAAAUUUGAUAGUUUUUUAGUUAUUUUAUAUAAAA
RNA transcript from Solanum lycopersicum (tomato), 833 nucleotides. RefSeq lists it as uncharacterized. NCBI's taxonomy places the organism in Eukaryota, Viridiplantae, Streptophyta, Magnoliopsida, Solanales, Solanaceae. The record is from RefSeq and is a predicted model, not a curated record.